Molecule: long non-coding RNA, 655 nt
Organism: Spodoptera frugiperda (fall armyworm)
Lineage: Eukaryota; Metazoa; Arthropoda; Insecta; Lepidoptera; Noctuidae
Exons: 2
Source: RefSeq, a predicted model, not a curated record
GCGCUAUGGUUUCGUUACAUUCAUUUGGUUGGGUAUCGGCCGAGCGCUUCGGUACUAUCGUAGAAAAAGUGUAUUAUCAGUCGUAUGAUUAUUUGUCUGUAGUGGUCCUGCUGUUUCGUAUAUUCUAAAUUGGUUUCGUUGUAUUUGUCAAUUAAUAAGUUUAUUUGUUGGGUUUUCCUGGUUUUUUGGUUAAACUAUUUAACGUAGGUUUAGUUUGAUAUCGAUUAUUAGUAGUUACUGUAGUUAGUUUUUUUAAUAAAAUUGUAAGUCUAAUUUAUAAAUUAAUUAGAUUAGAUUUAAGUCGUUUCUUUUAAAUUAUUUAGUUUAAGCUUGGUUAUUAUAGCAUAGAGGAUAGGUUGUAAUAUAGUUUAUUUUUUAAUUGUUAUAAAUUCGUAAUUCGUAGCUUUCUUUAGUUUUAAGUUAGUUUAAGUCCGUUUUUAAACUAUUUUUUCAAUGCCCUAAGUGAGUAUACAUCUAUUAAAUUCAAACGCAGAGCUCAUUAUGUUGAUUUUUGAAGAGUUCCCUGGAAUAUCUUCCACAUCUCAUUUUUGAAGAGAUCCCGCGAGAUCGGGAACUAUGUGGUUAAAACCAAAAAUUUGCCGGAAGUCACUAUUCCACGCGAACGAAGUCGCGGGCAAAAGCUAGUAAGAAAUAA